UCUGGAAACUNUCUGACUUGAGUGCAGAAGGGGAGAGUGGAAUUCCAUGUGUAGCGGUGAAAUGCGUAGAUAUAUGGAGGAACACCAGUGGCGAAAGCGGCUCUCUGGUCUGUCACUGACGCUGAGGCUCGAAAGCGUGGGUAGCGAACAGGAUUAGAUACCCUGGUAGUCCACGCCGUAAACGAUGAGUGCUAGGUGUUAGGCCCUUUCCGGGGCUUAGUGCCGGAGCUAACGCAAUAAGCACUCCGCCUGGGGAGUACGACCGCAAGGUUGAAACUCAAAGGAAUUGACGGGGGCCCGCACAAGCGGUGGAGCAUGUGGUUUAAUUCGAAGCAACGCGAAGAACCUUACCAGGUCUUGACAUCCCGAUGCUAUUCUUAGAGAUAGGAAGUUACUUCGGUACAUCGGAGACAGGUGGUGCAUGGUUGUCGUCAGCUCGUGUCGUGAGAUGUUGGGUUAAGUCCCGCAACGAGCGCAACCCUUAUUGUUAGUUGCCAUCAUUAAGUUGGGCACUCUAGCGAGACUGCCGGUAAUAAACCGGAGGAAGGUGGGGAUGACGUCAAAUCAUCAUGCCCCUUAUGACCUGGGCUACACACGUGCUACAAUGGUCGGUACAACGAGUUGCGAGCCGGUGACGGCAAGCUAAUCUCUGAAAGCCGAUCUCAGUUCGGAUUGGAGGCUGCAACUCGCCUCCAUGAAGUCGGAAUCGCUAGUAAUCGCGGAUCAGCACGCCGCGGUGAAUACGUUCCCGGGCCUUGUACACACCGCCCGUCACACCACGAGAGUUUGUAACACCCGAAGUCGGUGAGGUAACCUUUUAGGGG
This 824-nucleotide ribosomal RNA is filed under the name uncultured bacterium. RNAcentral describes it as "bacterial SSU rRNA". It matches the Rfam family "Bacterial small subunit ribosomal RNA", at positions 625 to 1448 of the family's 1533-position model. The record is from RNAcentral.